This 253-nucleotide ribosomal RNA is filed under the name uncultured bacterium. RNAcentral describes it as "partial 16S ribosomal RNA". It matches the Rfam family "Bacterial small subunit ribosomal RNA", at positions 524 to 776 of the family's 1533-position model. The record is from RNAcentral.
UACAGAGGGUGCAAGCGUUAAUCGGAAUUACUGGGCGUAAAGCGUGCGUAGACGGUUAUUUAAGUCGGAUGUGAAAUCCCCAGGCUCAACCUGGGAACUGCAUCCGAUACUGGAUGGCUUGAAUUCGGGAGAGGGAUGCAGAAUUCCAGGUGUAGCGGUGAAAUGCGUAGAUAUCUGGAGGAAUACCGGUGGCGAAGGCGGCAUCCUGGACCGACAUUGACGCUGAGGAGCGAAAGCCAGGGGAGCAAACAGG